CCUAGGGGGGCUCCAGUGAGGAAUAUUGCACAAUGGGGGGAACCCUGAUGCAGCAACGCCGCGUGGAGGAUGACGCAUUUCGGUGUGUAAACUCCUUUUAUAUGUCAAGAAAAUGACGGUAGCAUAUGAAUAAGCACCGGCUAACUCCGUGCCAGCAGCCGCGGUAAUACGGAGGGUGCAAGCGUUACCCGGAAUCACUGGGCGUAAAGGACGCGUAGGCGGGUUGGAAAGUCAGGUGUGAAAUCCUACAGCUUAACUGUAGAACUGCACUUGAAACUUCUAAUCUAGAGUAUGGGAGGGGGAGAUGGAAUUAGUGGUGUAGGGGUAAAAUCCGUAGAUAUCACUAGGAAUACCUAAAGCGAAGGCGAUCUCCUGGAACAUUACUGACGCUAAGGCGUGAAAGCGUGGGGAGCAAACAGGAUUAGAUACCCGCGUAGUC
RNAcentral lists this ribosomal RNA (439 nucleotides) under uncultured bacterium. Its description in RNAcentral is "partial 16S ribosomal RNA". It matches the Rfam family "Bacterial small subunit ribosomal RNA", at positions 338 to 795 of the family's 1533-position model. The record is from RNAcentral.